This 28-nucleotide small RNA is filed under the name Bombyx mori (domestic silkworm). Its description in RNAcentral is "ovarian small RNA-19687". The record is from RNAcentral. Lineage: Eukaryota; Metazoa; Arthropoda; Insecta; Lepidoptera; Bombycidae.
UAAUCUAUAAAAGCUAUAUAGAGCGGUC